GGUGCGGAGCAGCCCAGUGGGGGUUGUUAUAGUGGCAGUGGGGUGCCCUGUAGAGAGCAUUACAGAGUGGGUCACCAGGCCCAGGAUUAGAAGUGUCUGUAGCCCCCGAGGAACCGGGACAGGACUGAAUCAGUCAAGAAGAGACGAGAUGAUGAUGACGGAGUGGCCACAAAGUCCUCCCACCCCUACCCUAUCCCAGAUGAGCCCAUGCUGUAACCACAUGAAGAGCAAAGAAACAACUAUUUAUUCUCAGGGACUGUGUUAAUGAUUCCCAACCAUCAGCAUCGAAGAAGAGGUCCGGAAGAAUGUGAAGAAUGCUAAGUCUUGUGUGGAGAAUAGAGGGGAGCAUGAAGACAAUCCACAGCCUGCAGGCAGGGACUUCAUGGACACUCUACAUUGUGCAGCAGCCACAGAAUUCAGCCACAGGUGCCAGCUGGACAAUGCAUAGGAGUGAAUGAGACAGAAAGCAAGACCAUGAGGAUGACUAAGAAGAGCAAGUACAACAUGGCUGAGACUAAGUGUCCAGGGAGUUGAGAAUAAGUGGCCUAUUGUCAUGUCCUAUAUAAGUAGAGUAUAUGGAUGGGAGGCCAAGAAUACACCAACAAAUAAAAUAUUGAAUAUAUCGG
Homo sapiens (human) is the source of this 626-nucleotide long non-coding RNA. Ensembl annotates it as long intergenic non-protein coding RNA 3016. The record is from Ensembl. NCBI's taxonomy places the organism in Eukaryota, Metazoa, Chordata, Mammalia, Primates, Hominidae.